AUGAAUUUUAAGCAACUUGAUCAUGAACAUGUUGCACAAGCUUGGGAGAGGAUGAAAUUAAUGAUACGUAAUUGCCCUACACAUGGUUUGAAUUUGUGGAUGAUCAUACAAAAAUUUUAUGCCGGAUUGAAUUUUGCUUCUAGAAAUCUUUUAGAUUCGGCCCUGGGAGGCACUUUUAUGGAAAUCACUUUAGGAGAAGCUACUAAACUCCUAGAUAAUAUUAUGGUUAAUUAUUCUCAAUGGCACACUGAAAGAUCUACUAAUAAAAAGGUCCAUGCAAUAGAAGAAAUUAAUGUUUUGAGUGGAAAGAUGGAUGAACUUAUGAAAUUAUUUGCUAAUAAAAAUGUUUCUUCUCAUCCUAAUGAUAUGCCUUUGUCUACUUUGAUUGAGAAUAAUAAUGAAUCUAUGGAUGUGAAUUUUGUUGGUAGGAAUAAUUUUGGUAACAACGCGUAUAGAGAAAACUUUAAUCCUAGGCAUUAUCCUAGUAAUUCUUCUAAUAAUUAUGGUAAUUCCUACAACAAUUCUUAUGGAAAUUUUAAUAAGACGCCUUCUGAAUUUGAUACUAGUGUUAAGGAGUUUAUGAAUUCGCAAAAGAAUUUCAAUGCUUUGCUUGAAGAAAAAUUGCUUAAAGUUGAUGAAUUGGCUAGGACGUUGAUAGAAUUUCUCUUGAUGUUGAUUCCUUGA
RNAcentral lists this ribosomal RNA (684 nucleotides) under Triticum aestivum (bread wheat). Its description in RNAcentral is "partial small subunit ribosomal RNA". Lineage: Eukaryota; Viridiplantae; Streptophyta; Magnoliopsida; Poales; Poaceae. The record is from RNAcentral.